RNAcentral lists this ribosomal RNA (253 nucleotides) under uncultured bacterium. RNAcentral describes it as "partial 16S ribosomal RNA". It matches the Rfam family "Bacterial small subunit ribosomal RNA", at positions 524 to 776 of the family's 1533-position model. The record is from RNAcentral.
UACGUAGGGUGCGGGCGUUAAUCGGAAUUACUGGGCGUAAAGCGUGCGCAGGCGGUGAUGUAAGACAGGUGUGAAAUCCCCGGGCUUAACCUGGGAACUGCAUUUGUGACUGCAUCGCUGGAGUGCGGCAGAGGGGGAUGGAAUUCCGCGUGUAGCAGUGAAAUGCGUAGAUAUGCGGAGGAACACCGAUGGCGAAGGCAAUCCCCUGGGCCUGCACUGACGCUCAUGCACGAAAGCGUGGGGAGCAAACAGG